CAACCACACUAACUGGUUUGUUGUUGUUCUCUUUUUAAAGCAUUUCUUGUGUCCUGAGGAUUCCUUCGCUGCACUUCCGUUUGGCAAUAUCCUGCGGCCAAACUUCUACGUUACUUUUUGUGACUGCAGCCCUCAACUUUAUGGAAGCUGUCAAAACGUCCAUCUUGGAGACUCAAGAAGGAUGUUUUUCCCCCGCCUGAACUUUCACGUUUGGGUGUGAAGACCCACUGCCAGCAUCCUCUUCGGCAUGGAAUUGAGUCGAGCUGCAAAAGUUGUAACUGGAAUCCUUUUCCAACUAGUGGAUGUUGGACACAUGGCAUUCCUUCGCCUUACUUUCUUCCUGCGGGUGCUAAAUUGGCUUCAGGUGUGGGUGAGGCAUACUUUCCCACUUAUAUCACCUUAUUUGUGUUUAGUCUCAUUUUGUUGGAAAGCAUUUUCAAAAUGCAUGCUGGGGUUCAUGCUUCCAUCGAUGAACCACAGCCCAGAGUGCCGGCAGCACUCAUGCAGCCCUGGACCGACCAAAGUUGCCGUCAUAAUUCAGAUUUCUUCUUCAUGAUGUUGUGCUGCCCAGAUCUCACCAACAGCAAACGUCCUAAAUUAUUGAUCAGAGGCCAUUGGUGCUGUGCAUGAAGCAGUCAAAGCACUGGACUUGCAACAUGAGGGGAUUAUGGUCUGAUGCUGGCGGGCAUUUUUUUUUUUUUUUCUCCUUUGGGCUCCGGUUUGGACUUUUCAAGAAGGACCGGCUCACUAUGCCACUAUUCUGCCUUUUCUUCUUCUUCAAAAUGGUGUUCCUCAUUUAUAUUCAUCAGUACUUCUUUGUUCUCUUAUGGGCUUCAGACUGGAUUGAGAGAGAGAGAGAGGCAAGACUCUUAUUGUAAUAACAACCGUGACAAAACCACUCGAUCGUCCUUUCUUUUAACGCCGUUAUUCUUCUCUGUCAGACCUGUUUAUCAAUGAUGUAUGUUGCAUAACUUCCCAUGCUAAAUUUUUCCUUGUCUCUGUCACAAAAGUGCUGGCUUUAGGCGGUUUCCUUUUACAUAUUCGGGGCAUGGUUCUACAUCGGGGGUGGCCAAAGUGCGGCCGGCGGCACAUUUUUAAAAUACUAUUACAGACAAAACAUGAACAAAUCGCAAUAAAAGAGCAAACGGGUGAAAUGUAAUCAGACAAAGUUGCAAUGUUGACUCUAAUAACACUUUUUUUUCUUUAAAACUGUCAUUGCUCAAAAAAUAAUGAGUAAAAAUCAACAAUGUUAUGAAUUAUUGACCUAUUCAUGUACAUAGUGUAUAACCCCCCCCCCAUUGUUUGUAUAUAUUGUUUUUCAAAUCACCUGACAUGUAUACUGUGUAUAUGUACAUAAUUUAUGCAUUUUUUUUUAACAUAGUUUUAUAUACAUGUUACAGGUUAUAUAUAUUUUAUUAUUGAAUGUAUCAAAUGUGAUGAAUAUUUCAUGGACCACAAUGUAAACAAGCCUUUUGGCUUUUUGUGCCAUCCAUUUGCCUUUUUAAAACAUUACAUGGAUUAAAUUC
Molecule: long non-coding RNA, 1526 nt
Organism: Nerophis lumbriciformis (worm pipefish)
Lineage: Eukaryota; Metazoa; Chordata; Actinopteri; Syngnathiformes; Syngnathidae
Source: RefSeq, a predicted model, not a curated record